RNAcentral lists this ribosomal RNA (484 nucleotides) under uncultured bacterium. RNAcentral describes it as "partial 16S ribosomal RNA". It matches the Rfam family "Bacterial small subunit ribosomal RNA", at positions 28 to 523 of the family's 1533-position model. The record is from RNAcentral.
GACGAACGCUGGCGGCGUGCUUAACACAUGCAAGUCGAACGAUGAACCCGGAGCUUGCUCCGGUGGAUUAGUGGCGAACGGGUGAGUAACACGUGAGUAACCUGCCCUUGACUCUGGGAUAACUGCGGGAAACUGUAGCUAAUACCGGAUACGACCCUCGGCGGCAUCGCCAGGGGGUGGAAAGAAUUUCGGUCAAGGAUGGACUCGCGGCCUAUCAGCUAGUUGGUGAGGUAACGGCUCGCCAAGGCGACGACGGGUAGACGGCCUGAGAGGGUGAACGGCCACACUGGGUCUAAGACACGGCCCAGCAUCCUACGGGAGGCAGCGGUGGGGAAUAUUACACAAUGGGCGCAAGCCUGAUGCAGCAACGCCGCGUGAGGGAUGACGGCCUUCGGGUCGUAAACCUCUUUUAGUAGGGAAGAAGCGAAAGUGACGGUACCUGCAGAACAAGCACCGGCUAACUACGUGCCAGCAGCCGCAGUAA